This 468-nucleotide ribosomal RNA is filed under the name uncultured bacterium. RNAcentral's name for it is "partial 16S ribosomal RNA". It matches the Rfam family "Bacterial small subunit ribosomal RNA", at positions 28 to 507 of the family's 1533-position model. The record is from RNAcentral.
GACGAACGCUGGCGGCGUGCUUAACACAUGCAAGUCGAACGGAAAGGCCCUGCUUUUGUGGGGUGCUCGAGUGGCGAACGGGUGAGUAACACGUGAGUAACCUGCCCUUGACUUUGGGAUAACUUCAGGAAACUGGGGCUAAUACCGGAUAGGAGCUCCUGCUGCAUGGUGGGGGUUGGAAAGUUUCGGCGGUUGGGGAUGGACUCGCGGCUUAUCAGCUUGUUGGUGGGGUAGUGGCUUACCAAGGCUUUGACGAGUAGCCGGCCUGGGAGGGUGACCGGCCACAUUGGGACUGAGAUACGGCCCAGACUCCUACGGGAGGCAGCAGUGGGGAAUAUUGCACAAUGGGCGGAAGCCUGAUGCAGCAACGCCGCGUGCGGGAUGACGGCCUUCGGGUUGUAAACCGCUUUCGCCUGUGACGAAGCGUGAGUGACGGUAAUGGGUAAAGAAGCACCGGCUAACUACGUG